GCCUUCGGGGUGUAGUGGUCAGCACACUUGGAGUGUAUUCCACAGGUCCAUGGUUCGAGUCCCGGCGAAGGCA
RNAcentral lists this transfer RNA (73 nucleotides) under Stegodyphus mimosarum. It matches the Rfam family "tRNA". Rfam says of the family: Transfer RNA (tRNA) molecules are approximately 80 nucleotides in length. Their secondary structure includes four short double-helical elements and three loops (D, anti-codon, and T loops). Further hydrogen bonds mediate the characteristic L-shaped molecular structure. tRNAs have two regions of fundamental functional importance: the anti-codon, which is responsible for specific mRNA codon recognition, and the 3' end, to which the tRNAs corresponding amino acid is attached (by aminoacyl-tRNA synthetases). tRNAs cope with the degeneracy of the genetic code in two manners: having more than one tRNA (with a specific anti-codon) for a particular amino acid; and 'wobble' base-pairing, i.e. permitting non-standard base-pairing at the 3rd anti-codon position. The record is from Rfam by way of RNAcentral. Lineage: Eukaryota; Metazoa; Arthropoda; Arachnida; Araneae; Eresidae.